GUGGGGGCAGGGAGUAGGCAGCUCAGUGGGAGGAAAUGAGGCUGGACAACAGCCAGCUCCCAAGGGAAGCGCUUCUUGCCACAUCUGGCCAGCAUGUGUCUGGGCAAUAGAUGAUGAAGGCAACAAAGAGGCAGCCUUGCUCCUUGCGCUGGGCAGGUAGUCUUUCCAAGCACACAUACGUACACCUCCCCACCAACAAUGCAAUCUGCUGUUGCUACAAAGGAGCUAGAGAAAAGUUCUUUUGUGACUCUGGGCAAGGCCAGCCGUGAGUGGAGCUGGGCUUAACGGUGUGGGAGAAGCUGUCCCAGAGAUUAAGGAGCUUGAGAAGGGAAGGUAGGCAAGGCCAGCACCCUGGAGCAGGCUGACCUAAGGUGGAGGCUGAGGAGGAGCAGCUGAAGAAGGGGUGGGCCCAACACAAUCAAAAGGAUCCUUAAAUGUGGAAGAGGGAAGCAAGAGCCGUCAGAGAAAGACUUGGAGAGAGAAGGGACCACCAGCCAAGGAAUGCCAGCAGUCUCCAGAAGCUGGAAAGGAAAAAGCAAGGAAACAGAUUCUCCCUGAGAGCCUGCAGGGUGUCCUUGGACUCGGGCUUCCCAUACAUGAAGAGGAUGGUCCCAUAGAAGAUGACCAUGACUAUGAAGUGAGCAGAACAGUUAAGAGCCAACAUGUUUUCCAGAUUUCGAGUAUCUUUGUACUUGGAGAACACCCCAC
Molecule: long non-coding RNA, 708 nt
Filed under: Mustela putorius furo (domestic ferret)
Lineage: Eukaryota; Metazoa; Chordata; Mammalia; Carnivora; Mustelidae
Description: lncRNA (ENSMPUG00000025971.1)
Source: RNAcentral